UCCUUCACAAUCGAAGGUCACGGAGAUCAUUACGUAAAAUGUGUCAUGUAGAGGUUGGGUAAGAACGAGACGUGUUAAAUAACCAUUUGCAUUUGGUGUGUAGACCCAUCCCCAGCAACGUCAACCUGCAAAAGGAAAGGACAGUCACACUCGAAGGUCACGGAGAUCUUUACGUAAAACGUAUCAUGCAGUGGAGUAGAGGCUGGGUGAGAACGACACGUGUUGCAAUCAUUAUCAAGCAGGUAAAAUAACCGCAAGGCUUUAGAGGUGAGGGUGAGAAAAAAAUCGUAUAAAAGGCGAGAGAAACGGCGAUAGAAAAUCAGUCGAGUGAGCAUCUCCGGCACGGAAACAACUGCAGCGCAACAUCUGUCACUAUCUGCCUUCUUCACCGUAUUGCCAGUUCGCAACCUUGGGUAUCUAAGGCGUCGUAUGCUGUUGGGUGUUGUAUCGUUGAUAGCUGGGUCGACCACUGGUGUACCGAUGUCUCCUGGGGUAUGGAGCAAACCAAACUGCAACGCUGCCGCCUUAAUACAUAACAACAACAUACGCAACAACCGGUUCCUAGACCACCAAGGUUCCAGAGUAUUACACCACAGUUUAUGAUGCCCAGAGCUGCUACACCGAAUCCCGAAGUAUAGCUGCCCCGAGUUACAUCCCUAGAGAGCCGGACUACUACACCGAUUUUCUAAAGUACUACAUCACUAAGGCACCGGAAUACUACACGACUGCGUAUGCUGCCCCUGCCUACUACACCGAGGCCCCGCAUUACUACAACACCGAAGCGCUCAAGUACUACACUACAACCUACGUUGCCCCGAGCUACUACACCUACGACCCGAAUUAUUACUGUGCGUAAAGGAGUCGUCAAAAAAAGAAGUCGUACCCGAACAGUGCAUUAUCUGUCACCAACUGCAUUCCUCAUCGUGUAACCAUUCGCAAUUAUGGUCAACUAUGGCGUUGUGCUCCUGUUGCCUGUUAGGUGUUGUGUCUUUGAUGGCUGGGUGGACCACUGGUUUACCGAUGUCUCCUGGGCAUGGAGCAAACCAAUCCGCAACGCCGCCGCCUUCCUACACAACUUACGCAACGACCGGUUCCUGCACUGAGGUCUUCCAGUACUACUCCACUAAAGCACCGGAGUUUUAUAUCACAACUUACGCUGCCCCGAGCCACUACACUGACGGCCUGAAGUAUAACUCUGCCCCGAGUUACUACACCAUCUAGGCGACGGAGUACUACACGACUACGCAUGCUGCCUGAAGUUACUACACCAC
This is a long non-coding RNA of Daphnia pulicaria, 1271 nucleotides long. RefSeq lists it as uncharacterized. Lineage: Eukaryota; Metazoa; Arthropoda; Branchiopoda; Diplostraca; Daphniidae. The transcript has 3 exons. The record is from RefSeq and is a predicted model, not a curated record.